GAAUCUUCCACAAUGGACGAAAGUCUGAUGGAGCAAUGCCGCCUGAGCGAAGAAGGUUUUCGGAUCGUAAAGCUCUGUUGUAAGGGAAGAACACGUACGGGAGUAACUGCCCGUAACUUGACGGUACCUUAUUAGAAAGCCACGACUAACUACGUGCCAGCAGACGCGGUAAUACGGAGGUGGCACGCGUUGUCCCGAAUUAUUUGGCGUAGAGCGCGCGCAGGCGACCUGUUAAGUCUGAUGUGAAAGCCCCCGGCUCAACCGGGGAAGGUCAUUGGAAACUGAUAGGCUUGAGUACAGAAGAGGAAAGCGGAAUUCCACGUGUAGCGGUGAAAUGCGUAGAGAUGUGGAGGAACACCAGUGGCGAAGGCGGCUUUCUGGUCUGUAACUGACGCUGAGGCGCGAAAGCGUGGGGAGCAAACA
RNAcentral lists this ribosomal RNA (423 nucleotides) under uncultured bacterium. RNAcentral's name for it is "partial 16S ribosomal RNA". It matches the Rfam family "Bacterial small subunit ribosomal RNA", at positions 359 to 774 of the family's 1533-position model. The record is from RNAcentral.